CAAACCAAAGCUGGCGACCGGCGCACGGGUGAGUAACACGUAUCCAACCUGCCUCAUACUCGGGGAUAGCCUUUCGAAAGAAAGAUUAAUAUCCGAUAGCAUAUAUUUCCCGCAUGGGUUUAUAUUAAAGAAAUUCGGUAUGAGAUGGGGAUGCGUUCCAUUAGUUUGUUGGGGGGGUAACGGCCCACCAAGACUACGAUGGAUAGGGGUUCUGAGAGGAAGGUCCCCCACAUUGGAACUGAGACACGGUCCAA
Molecule: ribosomal RNA, 254 nt
Filed under: uncultured bacterium
Lineage: Bacteria
Description: partial 16S ribosomal RNA
Rfam family: Bacterial small subunit ribosomal RNA
Source: RNAcentral